AACAACAAAAACUUGACCCAACUAAACUAAACUUUGAUACCUUCGAUUAAAAAUCAAAUCUGUAUGUUAUACUUCAAAAUGAAAUUCGAGAAAUGGCAAAUAACCAAAAAACAAUCAUUUAGGAGCAAUAAAUAGAAGCAAAUCUUCAGCAAUCAAUUGAAUGAUGGUAUUAGAAUCCUGGACACCAUAAACAGCACUUCCCACCUUUUCUCUCUUUUCCUUUUCGCAAGGAAAUGAUUCACAAUGCAAAAAAUGGCAAGGGAAAAGGAAAAGAAAAACGAAGGCGUUGUAGGAGGAAGUAAAAGAACCCGAAAGAGCGAGAGAGAGAGAUGCCGAGAGAAGGCAAUGAAAAUGUUUAUCAAACGAGAAAAGAGCAGCGACGAAGAUGAGGAGGAGGCGGCUGCAAAAGACACAACAAGCUAGAGAUUACAAUGACAAUGCAUCCAUGAGAUAUUCAGAUACAAUUUGAAAUCGAAUAUAGUUUCUCAAUUGAGUUGAGUCGCAGAAUGUAAAUAAACCAACAAGACAUCAUCGAAA
Drosophila santomea is the source of this 537-nucleotide long non-coding RNA. RefSeq lists it as uncharacterized. The transcript has 2 exons. The record is from RefSeq and is a predicted model, not a curated record. NCBI's taxonomy places the organism in Eukaryota, Metazoa, Arthropoda, Insecta, Diptera, Drosophilidae.